RNAcentral lists this small RNA (37 nucleotides) under Arabidopsis thaliana (thale cress). Its description in RNAcentral is "ATSL016640". Lineage: Eukaryota; Viridiplantae; Streptophyta; Magnoliopsida; Brassicales; Brassicaceae. The record is from RNAcentral.
CAGAUUGUCUUCUUCUCCGUCUUUGCUCAUUCUAUGU